Molecule: ribosomal RNA, 431 nt
Filed under: uncultured bacterium
Lineage: Bacteria
Description: partial 16S ribosomal RNA
Rfam family: Bacterial small subunit ribosomal RNA
Source: RNAcentral
AACGAACGCUGGCGGCAGGCUUAACACAUGCGAGUCGAACGCCCCGCAAGGGGAGUGGCAGACGGGUGAGUAACGCGUGGGAAUCUACCCAUCCCUACGGAAUAACGCAUGGAAACGUGUGCUAAUACCGUAUACGCCCUACGGGGGAAAGAUUUAUCGGGGAUGGAUGAGCCCGCGUUGGAUUAGCUAGUUGGUGGGGUAAAGGCCUACCAAGACGACGAUCCAUAGCUGGUCUGAGAGGAUGAUCAGCCACAUUGGGACUGAGACACGGCCCAAACUCCUACGGGAGGCAGCAGUGGGGAAUAUUGGACAAUGGGCGCAAGCCUGAUCCAGCCAUGCCGCGUGAGUGAUGAAGGCCUUAGGGUUGUAAAGCUCUUUCACCGGAGAAGAUAAUGACGGUAUCCGGAGAAGAAGCCCCGGCUAACUUCGUG